CCUACGGGAGGCAGCAGUGAGGAAUAUUGGUCAAUGGACGAGAGUCUGAACCAGCCAAGCCGCGUGAAGGAGGACUGUCCAAUGGGUUGUAAACUUCUUUUAUCAAGGAAUAAAACGAGGCACGUGUGCCUUUUUGCAUGUACUUUAUGAAAAAGGAUCGGCUAACUCCGUGCCAGCAGCCGCGGUAAUACGGAGGAUCCGAGCGUUAUCCGGAUUUCUUGGGUUUAAAGGGAGCGUAGAUGGGUUGUUAAGUCAGUUGUGAAAGUUUGCGGCUCAACCGUAAACUUGCAUUUGAAACUGGCAGUCUUGAGUACAGGAGAGGUAGGCGGAAUUCGUGGUGUAGCGGUGAAAUGCUUAGAUAUCACGAAGAACCCCGAUUGCGAAGGCAGCUUAC
RNAcentral lists this ribosomal RNA (394 nucleotides) under uncultured bacterium. Its description in RNAcentral is "partial 16S ribosomal RNA". It matches the Rfam family "Bacterial small subunit ribosomal RNA", at positions 338 to 729 of the family's 1533-position model. The record is from RNAcentral.